CAGUAGCCGCGGUAAUACGAAGGGGGCUAGCGUUGUUCGGAAUUACUGGGCGUAAAGGGCGCGUAGGCGGCCAUUCAAGUUAGAUGUGAAAGCCCUGGGCUCAACCUAGGAAUUGCAUUUGAUACUGUUUGGCUUGAGUUCGGGAGAGGUGAGUGGAAUUCCCAGUGUAGAGGUGAAAUGCGUAGAUAUCGGAAGGAACACCUGUGGCGAAAGCGGCUCACUGGACCAUUUCUGACGCUGAUGCACGAAAGCUAGGGGAGCAAACAGGAUUAGAUACCCGAGUAGUCCCUGUCUCUUAUAC
This 301-nucleotide ribosomal RNA is filed under the name uncultured bacterium. RNAcentral's name for it is "partial 16S ribosomal RNA". It matches the Rfam family "Bacterial small subunit ribosomal RNA", at positions 509 to 807 of the family's 1533-position model. The record is from RNAcentral.